GGCUGUGUGGCCUAGUGGUAUGAUUCUCGCGUUGGGUGCACGAGGUUUCGAGUUCGGUCCUCGACUCAGCGCG
This 73-nucleotide transfer RNA is filed under the name Perkinsus olseni. Its description in RNAcentral is "tRNA-Pro". Lineage: Eukaryota; Perkinsozoa; Perkinsida; Perkinsidae. The record is from RNAcentral.